GGGUGCGAUCAUACUAGCACUAAUGCACCGGAUCCCAUCUGAACUCCGCAGGUAAUCGUGCUCGGGCCAGAGUAGUACUAGGAUGGGUGACCUCCUGGGAAAUCCUCGUGUUGCACCCC
RNAcentral lists this ribosomal RNA (119 nucleotides) under Gossypium raimondii (Peruvian cotton). Lineage: Eukaryota; Viridiplantae; Streptophyta; Magnoliopsida; Malvales; Malvaceae. The record is from RNAcentral.